ACAACCAUCUCUUACAAUUCUAAUCACUCUAAACUUUAUUUGAGUGGUCCGUUGUUACACACACCUACAAUAAAGCAUGCAAUGUUAGUUAAAACAUGCAAGAUGAUCUCAACACACACAAGAUCUCUUGAAAACCAACCUGAAUCCUCUACUGCCUUUGAUGAUCACAAUGCACAUUUGCAACAGUUGAAUGAUCAAAUCUGUGAACAAGAGCAGCAAUUAGCUAUUCUGCAUGCACAACAGCAGCUCAACAAGUUGGAGGUGCAGAUUUGUGAAGAUACUCUUAUCAAGCCUCAAUUAAUUCAGAAUACCACC
Molecule: small RNA, 315 nt
Filed under: Histoplasma ohiense
Lineage: Eukaryota; Fungi; Ascomycota; Eurotiomycetes; Onygenales; Ajellomycetaceae
Description: hypothetical lncRNA
Source: RNAcentral